CACGUAGGGCGCGAGCGUUGUCCGGAAUUAUUGGGCGUAAAGAGCUCGUAGGCGGCCUGUUGCGUCCGCUGUGAAAGCCCGGGGCUUAACCCCGGGUCUGCAGUGGAUACGGGCAGGCUAGAGGUAGGUAGGGGAGAAUGGAAUUCCCGGUGUAGUGGUGGAAAUGCGCAGAUAUCGGGAGGAACACCGGUGGCGAAGGCGGUUCUCUGGGCCUUACCUGACGCUGAGGAGCGAAAGCGUGGGGAGCGAACAGG
RNAcentral lists this ribosomal RNA (254 nucleotides) under uncultured bacterium. RNAcentral describes it as "partial 16S ribosomal RNA". It matches the Rfam family "Bacterial small subunit ribosomal RNA", at positions 524 to 776 of the family's 1533-position model. The record is from RNAcentral.